This 462-nucleotide ribosomal RNA is filed under the name Androctonus bicolor. RNAcentral's name for it is "partial 12S ribosomal RNA". Lineage: Eukaryota; Metazoa; Arthropoda; Arachnida; Scorpiones; Buthidae. The record is from RNAcentral.
ACCGUAAGGGUAAAAAAAUUUUAGUUUUAAUUAUGAGGAUUAAAGAUGAGAAGAGAAGUUUCCUUAAAAGGUAAAAUUGAAAGGGAGUAAUUUUUUCAAAUUUUAUUCCUUAAAAAAUUUUGAAUGAGACUAGGAUUAGAUACCCUAUUAUUAUUAAAAAAAAGAAAAUUAGGUAGUAUUAGAAGACUUGAAACUUAAAGAAUUUGGCGGUGUCUUAAUCUUAUCAGAGGAACUUGUAUUAUAACUCGAAAUUACUCGUUCUAUCUUACUUAAAUUUAAUUUGUAUAUCGUCGUAAAAAUAAAAUUUUAAGGUAGAUAUUUUAGUUUAUUUAAUAAAAAAUUACAGAUCAAGGUUCAGUUAUGUUUAAGAAAAUAUGAGUUACAAUGUUAGAGAAAUAAAUGAAUAAUACUUUGAAAAAAGCAUUUGAAGGUGGAUUUGAAAGUAAAUUAAAAUAAAAAGUU